CUGCUAUCACAAGUAUUUUCAAUGAGAAAUCUAACAAAAGACUCUCGGUCACAUUCUACUUUACUCCUUUUUCUGAUUGAAUUUCUGCGGUACUUACAUGUUUCUAUUAAUGGCGUGCUACCAAAAUAGUUGAUGCAGUUAACCCCUUUGCCUUUUGAAAUUAGAUCUGUAGCCAGCGGAAACCUUUCGUGUCGUAUAGCCUUGAA
This 206-nucleotide long non-coding RNA is filed under the name Mytilus galloprovincialis (Mediterranean mussel). The record is from RNAcentral. Lineage: Eukaryota; Metazoa; Mollusca; Bivalvia; Mytilida; Mytilidae.